Long non-coding RNA from Thalassophryne amazonica, 194 nucleotides. RefSeq lists it as uncharacterized. The record is from RefSeq and is a predicted model, not a curated record. NCBI's taxonomy places the organism in Eukaryota, Metazoa, Chordata, Actinopteri, Batrachoidiformes, Batrachoididae. The transcript is spliced from 3 exons.
AUGACCAAUAACCAACAUGUUUAAAGAAAUACGAGUGGGCACAUGUAUAAGGAAGGUAUUAGACAUACAUGUUAUAUUUUUAUUCACUUUAAUGUUUAUUAUUAAGUAAAAAGUUCCAUCGGACAGAAAAAGCAAGCGUCAGGUCUUUGACCCGUCUACAUAAUUACAUCCUCACCCUCUGUGUCACCGUCUUU